GAGUUUGAACCUGGCUCAGGAUGAACGCUGGCGGCGUGCUUAACACAUGCAAGUCGAACGGACCUGUACUGAAACCUAGUGAUUUACAGGUUAGUGGCGGACGGGUGAGUAACGCGUGGAAAACCUGCCGUAUACUGGGGGAUAACACUUAGAAAUAGGUGCUAAUACCGCAUAAGCGCACAGACCCGCAUGGGACAGUGUGGAAAACAAAAAGCUAAAGCUUUUUGUGGUAUACGAUGGUUCCGCGUCUGAUUAGCUUGUUGGCGGGGUAACGGCCCACCAAGGCGACGAUCAGUAGCCGGCCUGAGAGGGUGAACGGCCACAUUGGGACUGAGACACGGCCCAGACUCCUACGGGAGGCAGCAGUGGGGAAUAUUGCACAAUGGGGGAAACCCUGAUGCAGCGACGCCGCGUGAGUGAAGAAGUAUCUCGGUACGUAAAGCUCUAUCAGCAGGGAAGAAAAAAAGCCUUUGGCUUUGGACGGUACCUGACUAAGAAGCCCCGGCUAACUAC
RNAcentral lists this ribosomal RNA (513 nucleotides) under uncultured bacterium. RNAcentral's name for it is "bacterial SSU rRNA". It matches the Rfam family "Bacterial small subunit ribosomal RNA", at positions 9 to 504 of the family's 1533-position model. The record is from RNAcentral.